This 639-nucleotide ribosomal RNA is filed under the name Cryptococcus sp. TP-Snow-Y44. Its description in RNAcentral is "eukaryotic LSU rRNA". It matches the Rfam family "Eukaryotic large subunit ribosomal RNA", at positions 38 to 667 of the family's 3401-position model. Lineage: Eukaryota; Fungi; Basidiomycota; Tremellomycetes; Tremellales; Cryptococcaceae. The record is from RNAcentral.
GCAUAUCAAUAAGCGGAGGAAAAGAAACUAACUAGGAUUCCCUUAGUAACGGCGAGUGAACUGGGAUGAGCUCAAAUUUGAAAUCUGGCGUCUUUCAGGCGUCCGAGUUGUAAUCUAUAGAGGCGUUUUCCGCGCCGGACCGCGUCCAAGUCUCUUGGAAUAGAGUAUCAAAGAGGGUGACAAUCCCGUACUUGACGCGACAACCGGUGCUCUGUGAUACGUUCUCAACGAGUCGAGUUGUUUGGGAAUGCAGCUCUAAAUGGGUGGUAAAUUCCAUCUAAGGCUAAAUAUUGGCGAGAGACCGAUAGCGAACAAGUACCGUGAGGGAAAGAUGAAAAGCACUUUGGAAAGAGAGUUAAACAGCACGUGAAAUUGUUAAAAGGGAAACGAUUGAAGUCAGUCGUGUGGGAGGUAUUCAGCCGUCUCUGACGGUGUAUUUGCCUCUCACGGGUCAACAUCAGUUUGGCUCGGUAGAAAAAGGCGGGAGGAAGGUGGCACCCUCGGGUGUGUUAUAGCCUCCUGUCAUAUGUGCCGGGCCAGACUGAGGAACGCAGCUUGCAGCAAUGCCGGGGUUCGCCCACGUCCAAGCUUAGGAUGUUGACAUAAUGGCUUUAAACGACCCGUCUUGAAACACGGACC